Helianthus annuus (common sunflower) is the source of this 590-nucleotide long non-coding RNA. RefSeq lists it as uncharacterized. The transcript is spliced from 5 exons. NCBI's taxonomy places the organism in Eukaryota, Viridiplantae, Streptophyta, Magnoliopsida, Asterales, Asteraceae. The record is from RefSeq and is a predicted model, not a curated record.
AGAGGUUAUUAGAGGUUUCCAUCCCACUCCCCACUCUCUCUUCAACCUCUCCCCCUACCCAUUAUAAAUCCCCAUCCCCCACGCCCCGCUUUCUCCUCCGCAACCACCUAAGCCACCCAUUAUAACCCUCCACCCCCACCAUCGCCAGGUUUUCUUUCUCCUCUGUACACAAAUUGGAUGAAUCAUCUCACUAGAUCCAAUCAUCGGCUUUCAAAAUUCUAACAUUGGAUCUUCUUCUAAGCUUCCCACAACCCACUCUAGAAAUUGGCGAUUCAUCCCUAAUCAGUCAUCGUCUCCCUCUCGUGAUUUAAGGGCUUUUCGAAUCGGACCAAGUCGUUCUUAGUGCCGCUGAGCUCCGUCACAUUACUGAUCUUCAAUUCGAUUCAUCCAGUGCCAAAAUUACUGCAAUAAGAUUGAGUGGAACAUCAGAGAAGGCUUACAUUAGAUCUUAUAACGUGAAGCGGAACAGAAUCGGUGUCAAGAACAAGGCUAUUUAAUUUGGAUUUGUACAUGUAAUUUGGGUGAAAGAGAAGUUAAAAAUCUUGACACUUCUAAAACUUUGUCUAGCCUUGGUCCAAAUGCUAUCUUCA